This 250-nucleotide ribosomal RNA is filed under the name uncultured bacterium. RNAcentral describes it as "partial 16S ribosomal RNA". It matches the Rfam family "Bacterial small subunit ribosomal RNA", at positions 524 to 773 of the family's 1533-position model. The record is from RNAcentral.
UACGUAGGGUGCAAGCGUUAAUCGGAAUUACUGGGCGUAAAGCGUGCGCAGGCGGUUAUGUAAGACAGAGGUGAAAUCCCCGGGCUCAACCUGGGAACUGCCUUUGUGACUGCAUAGCUAGAGUACGGUAGAGGGGGAUGGAAUUCCGCGUGUAGCAGUGAAAUGCGUAGAUAUGCGGAGGAACACCGAUGGCGAAGGCAAUCCCCUGGACCUGUACUGACGCUCAUGCACGAAAGCGUGGGGAGCAAAC